CAUAGUUCUUCAUUAAUGAGACUUGUAGUCAAUAAUAGAUUGAAAAUAUCAUUCUCCUUGUGUAGUUAAAAAAAAUCUCCUCUGGUAAUACCGAAACAACUAAUUUUUCUUAUUUUGUUUGUUCCUCUUUAUUAUUAAAUACUAUCUGAAUUAACUCUUUAGUAGUUGGCCUGGUUGAAGCUCUGUGAGGAGCAAAGCAGCCCUCUCCAGGUGAACUGCUUGACUUUACCACCUGAAGGAGUAUUUACUGCAAGAAUUAACAAAGCAGGUGUUCCUAAUCCAAGCAGAACCCCGUUAUUUGAAGAGCCUGAGAAAUCUUAUCCCGUUUACAAAUGUCCUGGGAGUGCAUCCAAAGUGAAACUUGGGCAUCCUCAAUACUAAGAAAUCUCUGAGAAUGACUGAGUCUUGGUUCUUUGAUCUUACCUCUACUCCUCUGAAAAACAUGAUUAUCUAAAAUUGUGUUAGGUGGAUGAACCGCAUCAAAGACUUCCAGAAGCCACUCCAGUGACCAUAAGAUAAAUGUCAGAAUCGCAUAACCCCCGGGAUCAGGCAAGUGUUAUCCUCUCUUAAAACUCUUUGUUUACAACCAUGAUCUCCUUUUGGGAAUCAUUACAUUUGACUUGCUGCUUAUUUUUGUUGGAUGUUACCAGUGCUUGGUGAUAAAACUUGAUGUGGCUCUUUGCUUUGAAAAAGAAAAAAACUUUUUAUUUAAAGAAACAGUUGUAUACACUGCAUAAAAAUUGGGAAACUAUUAUGAAGAAAAAGAAGAUAUAAUAAAGGAAACAAAAAUUUACAGAUGACCCCAAAUCUCUUUUAAUAUUUGGCAAGUUUCAAGCAUGAAUUUUUUGUUUUGUUUUGUUUUUGUUUUAUAGAGACAGCACCUUGCUAUGUUGCCCAGGCUAGUCUUUUUUUUUUUUUUUUUUGAGACGGAGCCUCGCUCUGUUGCCCAGGCUGGAGUGCAGUGGCGCGAUCUUCGCUCACUGCAAGCUCUGCCUCCC
Molecule: long non-coding RNA, 998 nt
Filed under: Pan troglodytes (chimpanzee)
Lineage: Eukaryota; Metazoa; Chordata; Mammalia; Primates; Hominidae
Description: long non-coding RNA NONPTRT014652
Source: RNAcentral